Molecule: unclassified non-coding RNA, 305 nt
Filed under: plant metagenome
Description: partial contains 5.8S ribosomal RNA, internal transcribed spacer 2, and large subunit ribosomal RNA
Rfam family: 5.8S ribosomal RNA (bases 1-105)
Source: RNAcentral
GAAAUGCGAUAAGUAGUGUGAAUUGCAGAAUUCAGUGAAUCAUCGAAUCUUUGAACGCACAUUGCGCCCUUUGGUAUUCCAAAGGGCAUGCCUGUUCGAGCGUCAUUUGUACCCUCAAGCUUUGCUUGGUGUUGGGCGUCUUGUCUCCAGUUCGCUGGAGACUCGCCUUAAAGUAAUUGGCAGCCGGCCUACUGGUUUCGGAGCGCAGCACAAGUCGCGCUCUCUUCCAGCCAAGGUCAGCAUCCACAAAGCCUUUUUUCAACUUUCGACCUCGGAUCAGGUAGGGAUACCCGCUGAACUUAAGC